RNAcentral lists this ribosomal RNA (496 nucleotides) under uncultured bacterium. RNAcentral describes it as "partial 16S ribosomal RNA". It matches the Rfam family "Bacterial small subunit ribosomal RNA", at positions 28 to 506 of the family's 1533-position model. The record is from RNAcentral.
GAUGAACGCUGGCGGCGUGCCUAAUACAUGCAAGUCGAGCGAACGGACGAGAAGCUUGCUUCUCUGAUGUUAGCGGCGGACGGGUGAGUAACACGUGGAUAACCUACCUAUAAGACUGGGAUAACUUCGGGAAACCGGAUCUAAUACCGGAUGAUAUUUUGAACCGCAUGGUUCAAAAGUGAAAGACGGUCUUGCUGUCACUUAUAGAUGGAUCCGCGCUGCAUUAGCUAGUUGGUAAGGUAACGGCUUACCAAGGCAACGAUGCAUAGCCGACCUGAGAGGGUGAUCGGCCACACUGGAACUGAGACACGGUCCAGACUCCUACGGGAGGCAGCAGUAGGGAAUCUUCCGCAAUGGGCGAAAGCCUGACGGAGCAACGCCGCGUGAGUGAUGAAGGUCUUCGGAUCGUAAAACUCUGUUAUUAGGGAAGAACAUAUGUGUAAGUAACUGUGCACAUCUUGACGGUACCUAAUCAGAAAGCCACGGCUAACUACGU